GCUGCUGCGUGGGGAUUCAGCCGGGCCCAGCAGGGCUGGGUUGUUCAGCCUUGGCUUGGGGCUGUGGCAAGGCAGCUGCAGGUGUUUCCUCAGGGAGCUGCAGAGUGCCUCUGUCCUCGGGGCUGGGGGAAAUCAGGGUGCUGAGACAAGAGAGGCAGCUGAGGGGUUCCCUCCUGGGGUAGCAAGUGCUGCUGGUGGGCGCUGUCUGGCAGGCAGUGGGAGCUCGGCGGCCUCAGGAAGCUGCCGCUGCCUGUGGUAGCUGUGGCACUUGGGAGCUGGCGCUGUGUGGGCAGCUGUCAGCUUUAGCCUGGAGCUGUGCCCAGCUGGGGGGGCUGGGAGAAAGCAAGCAGCCCAAGGAGCCAGGCAGCAGGGAAGUGUCUGAGCCAGUGCCACUCUGUCCCACAUGGAAGCCUGGCUGGGAGGUGGGGCUGCAGGCCGCUCCAUGGCGGGGUGCCUUGCCCGGGGCUGCAGCGCUCAUGGCUGACCCUGUCCUUACAGUGACCUGGCAGACGGCCACUGGUGCCAAGCGUCGAGAGGAGCCGCUGCGUGGGAACAGGCAGAAGGACACAGCCUCUUGUGACCCACAGCAGGCCUUGCUCAAGGCACUCUCCUUGCUGGGCAGCGAUGACUGGGAGCUGAAGGAGAAGCAUCAAACAGCUGGCUGGGUCCCAUUCAGAAGUCGUGCUUUGCAGACUUUGUGAAAUUUGCCUGGCAGUUACCAGCGAGGUGAGCAACCUCUGCUCCAAGGUGUCCUACACUGCAAUCGUCACUCUUGGAGAGCUCUUUGCAACCUUGAAGAAGGACAUGGACUCCGAGGUGGAUGAGGUUGCUCAGGUCCUGCUCCCAGUGGUUUGGAAUUCUCCAGAGUUUGUUGAGAAAGCAG
Cyanistes caeruleus (blue tit) is the source of this 883-nucleotide non-coding RNA. The record is from RefSeq and is a predicted model, not a curated record. NCBI's taxonomy places the organism in Eukaryota, Metazoa, Chordata, Aves, Passeriformes, Paridae.